This is a non-coding RNA of Populus trichocarpa (black cottonwood), 105 nucleotides long. The record is from Rfam. NCBI's taxonomy places the organism in Eukaryota, Viridiplantae, Streptophyta, Magnoliopsida, Malpighiales, Salicaceae.
CCAACUUCUUCUGAACUCUCUCCCUCAACCGCUACUCUAGAGCUUGGCAAUCCUUGUCGAUUGUUUCUGUGUAGCGGUUGAGGUGAGGGGUUCAGAACAUGUUGG